AAACAGCAUGACUACCUCUAAGGCUGAGGGAGAACAUCCAAGGGAGUAACAGACUUGGAAGAGAUCUCAACCCUGAGGCUAAAAUUCAGACCCCCUUGGAGAGGACGGGGCUGUAGCUAGAUGGCAGAGAAAUUAUAUGUGUAAAUGACAGAGGAAUUCACUGGAGUGCUGCAGAUAGAGGUGGUGGUGCAGCUGCAGGUGGGGAUGGUGAGCUGGAAGCCAUCUACUGGGGUGAGGUGGAAGCUUAUUGGAGAGUGAGUGCCAAUGGAACUCCAUAGGUGACACCAUAAGAACAAAAUCUACAACAAGGAGAUCUAGGAAGGGCAGCUACUGCCUCUCUGCUAUGCCUGCAGUGUCUCUCUAGUGCCCUCUGCUGAUAAGCCUAACAUUGCACCAGCUGGCAAAUGAGAAAUGUUCAUGGGAUCCAGAUCCAGAUCAGUUAACUCCAAACAAGAAAAAGAAAGAUUGCUUUGGACUAAGGAGCAAUAAAUUGAUAACUGGCACAGUGUUACCCUCCCUUUUUUGUUUUUGUUUUUCCAUUCACGGCUAUACUGUCAAUAUCCAUUCAUGCUCUAUAUGUAUGAUUAUUGGACAUUCUAUUUUUAUACACUCCCUGGUUUUCUUUUCCUUUCAUUGUUUUGGGGCUAUUUUAUAGCUCUGAAAGUUGUAGAAAACUAAUAACAAUGUAAAAGAUUUUUAGUUCAUAGAAAUGAAAAUUAUUUGUGUCUGGUGGAAUAUAGUAGAUUAACCACCCUGUGGUUAGACCAUUUUCCAUCUUUUAAAUAAAUGCAUUCUAGCAUUCCUUGUUGCCUAUUUAUGUGUGUUUUUUUGAAUUAUCCUUUGAUCUAGUUGUAACAUCUUACUGGUUCCCUCAUUAAUUAAUGAGGUAAAUAAAAC
RNAcentral lists this long non-coding RNA (897 nucleotides) under Homo sapiens (human). RNAcentral describes it as "lncAB440.1". Lineage: Eukaryota; Metazoa; Chordata; Mammalia; Primates; Hominidae. The record is from RNAcentral.